CACGUAGGCGGAUAUUUAAGUCAGGGGUGAAAUCCCAGAGCUCAACUCUGGAACUGCCUUUGAUACUGGGUAUCUUGAGUAUGGAAGAGGUAAGUGGAAUUCCGAGUGUAGAGGUGAAAUUCGUAGAUAUUCGGGGGAACACCAGUGGCGAAGGCGGCUUACUGGUCCAUUACUGACGCUGAGGUGCGAAAGCGUGGGGAGCAAACA
Molecule: ribosomal RNA, 207 nt
Filed under: uncultured bacterium
Lineage: Bacteria
Description: partial 16S ribosomal RNA
Rfam family: Bacterial small subunit ribosomal RNA
Source: RNAcentral